CGGAUACGUCCUGCACUUUUCGAAGUGCAGGGGAAAGAUGGGGAUCCGUAAGGACCUAUCACCCUUGGAUGGGCCCGCGGCCUAUCAGCUAGUUGGUGAGGUAAUGGCUCACCAAGGCUAAGACGGGUAGCUGGUCUGAGAGGAUGGUCAGCCACACUGGAACUGAGACACUGUCCAGACACCUACGGGUGGCUGCAGUCGAGAAUCUUUCGCAAUGGGGGAAACCCUGACGACGCGACGCCGCGUGGAGGAUGAAGGCCUUCGGGUUGUAAACUCCUGUCAGCAGGGGAGAACAAGCUGUCGAUGAAUAAUUGACAGCUUUGACAGUACCUGCAGAGGAAGCCACGGCUAACUCUGUGCCAGCAGCCGCGGUAAUACAGAGGUGGCAAGCGUUGUUCGGAUUUAUUGGGCGUAAAGGGUCCGUAGGCGGCCUGGAAAGUCGGAUGUGAAAUCCCACAGCUUAACUGUGGAACUGCAUUCGAAACUUCUAAGCUCGAGUG
This 500-nucleotide ribosomal RNA is filed under the name uncultured bacterium. Its description in RNAcentral is "bacterial SSU rRNA". It matches the Rfam family "Bacterial small subunit ribosomal RNA", at positions 170 to 648 of the family's 1533-position model. The record is from RNAcentral.